RNAcentral lists this unclassified non-coding RNA (223 nucleotides) under Glomeromycetes sp. RNAcentral describes it as "partial contains 5.8S ribosomal RNA and internal transcribed spacer 2". The stretch from base 1 to 71 matches the Rfam family "5.8S ribosomal RNA", at positions 84 to 154 of the family's 154-position model. Lineage: Eukaryota; Fungi; Glomeromycota; Glomeromycetes. The record is from RNAcentral.
GUGAAUCAUCAAAUCUUUGAACGCAAAUUGCACUCUCUGGUAUUCCGGAAAGUAUGUCUGUUUGAGGGUCAGUUUAAAUAAAAUUGGUGUGGUUGCUUCCAGUAGUGGUGUGUGAUGCACUGGUAUUGAGUAGUUAUUUACCUUUGGUUUAUGUGAUAUAAAAUUAUGUUUGAUUUUUAAACGUAUUUAAAUUAUCUUUUUAUUUCUUUUUAUGUAUUUUUAG